AUGAACGCUGGCGGCGUGCCUAAUACAUGCAAGUCGAGCGAACAGACGAGGAGCUUGCUCCUCUGACGUUAGCGGCGGACGGGUGAGUAACACGUGGAUAACCUACCUAUAAGACUGGGAUAACUUCGGGAAACCGGAGCUAAUACCGGAUAAUAUAUUGAACCGCAUGGUUCAAUAGUGAAAGACGGUUUUGCUGUCACUUAUAGAUGGAUCCGCGCCGCAUUAGCUAGUUGGUAAGGUAACGGCUUACCAAGGCAACGAUGCGUAGCCGACCUGAGAGGGUGAUCGGCCACACUGGAACUGAGACACGGUCCAGACUCCUACGGGAGGCAGCAGUAGGGAAUCUUCCGCAAUGGGCGAAAGCCUGACGGAGCAACGCCGCGUGAGUGAUGAAGGUCUUCGGUUCGUAAAACUCUGUUAUUAGGGAAGAACAAAUGUGUAAGUAACUAUGCACGUCUUGACGGUACCUAAUCAGAAAGCCACGGCUAACUACGUG
This 496-nucleotide ribosomal RNA is filed under the name uncultured bacterium. Its description in RNAcentral is "partial 16S ribosomal RNA". It matches the Rfam family "Bacterial small subunit ribosomal RNA", at positions 29 to 507 of the family's 1533-position model. The record is from RNAcentral.